UUGGCCGCUUGUACCCGUGAAAAGCCAGCAUCUGUGAUGGUAUGGGUGUGUAUUAGUGCCCAAAGGCAUGGGUAACUUACACAUCUGUGAAGGCACCAUUAAUGCUAAAAGGUACAUACAGGUUUUGGAGCAAAAUAUGUUGCCAUCUAAGCAAGGUUAUCAUGGACGCCCCUGCUUAUUUCAGCAAGACAAUGCCAAGCCACGUGUUACAAGAGCGUGGCUUCAUAGUAAAAGAGUGCGGGUACUCGACUGGCCUGCCUGUAGUCCAGACCUGUCGCCCAUUGUGUGGUGCAUUAGGAAGCCUAAAAUAUCACAACGGAGACUCGGACAGUUGAACAACUAAAGCUGUAAAUCAAGCGAGAAAAGGAAAUAAUCCCACCUGAAAAGUUUCAAAAAUUGGUCUGCUCAGUUCCCAAAUGUUUAGCGAGUGUUGUUAAAAGGAAAGGCCAUGUAACACAGUGGUAAAAAUGCACUUGUGCCAACUUUUUUGCAAUGUGUUGCUGCCAUUAAAUUCUAAAUUAAUGAUUAUUUGCACAAAAAGCAGUAAGUUUCUCAGUUGGAACAUUAAAUAUCUUGUCUUUGCAGUCUAUUCAAUUGAAUAUAAGUUGAGUCGAAAAAGCUUUGCAAAUCACUGGUUUUGGGGUUUGUAGUUGAAGUUUUCAUUACAGAGUAAACAGUGAAAGAUGGAGUUUUUAAGGAGAGAUUCAAAGGUGAACACUUGGAAGAAUUGAAGAGCUUUCUUGGCUGUCUUCAGGAUUUUUGCUGUUGCUAAGCAUUGCUGACGUCUGUUGGCUUCCGAUCCAUAACGGAACUGUCUUUCCUUUCAGGUGCUAAUGAUUGACACCAGCACGCCCGCCAUGCUGGACAGAAGCGGGCCAGCACACUGCACCGUGUGCUGCUGCACGCUGGCCAAUAAAAUCCUCAUGGUGGUCUUCAUGGUGCUGCUGAUCCUGGCCAUCCUGUUUGGGAACCUGCUGACGCUGGCGGUGGUGCUGGGCACCAAACACUUCCACACGCCUCAGGGCUACCUGAAGGCCUCGCUGGCCGUGGCCGACCUGGCGGUGGGCGCCUUUGUGGUGCCGCUCUCCGUCUACGCCGAGGUCUACCUCAUGGCCGGGGACGCGGCGCCCGAGUGGACGAUGUCCAACUCGCAGUCGGUGAGUUUUCACCCGUGCAACGUCAUCGGGCCCAUCUUCGCCGGCUGCACGCUGGUGUCCAUCACCACCAUCUUCCUGCUGACCAUCGAGCGGGGCAUCGCCGUGCUGCGCCCGCUGCACAAAGACUCGGUGAUAACCCGGAAAAGGACCACCAUCCUCAUCUGGCUAUCCUGGCUGGGAAGCUUCUUCCUGGCCGUGUCGCCCAUGGUCUUCAGCCGCGAGAUCGCCCUGGAGUACAACCCCUGCAGCCGCAUGUGCAACUAUGCGCUGGGCACCAUCAGCGAGUUCCCCUCGCAGGCCUGGAACAUCCUCCUCCUCUUCCCGGCCUUCGACUUCACGCUGCUGGGCGGCACAGUGGCCAUCAACAUCAUCUCGCUGUCCAGCAUCAGGCAGCACUCCAAGCGCAGGAAGCACCUGGCCGAGGCCGACUGCCAGAGCGCCACCAAGCCCACCUUCUCCGACAUCAAGGCGGCCAAAACCAUCGGGGCGCUGACAGUGGCCUUCAGCGCCUCCUUCACGCCCAUCGCCGUCUUUGUGGUGGGCAACGUUUUGGGGAACGAGUGGUGUAACUUCUCCUUUUUUGCCUUUUGGAUUUUGGCCGCCAACAGCUGCUGCAACGUGAUAAUUUACAGCGUUCGCGAUCAGAAGUUCAGGAUUUGUGCGCACAAGCUGCUCAUGCCUCUGAGGAGGAGAAAGGCCAGCAGCAGCAGCUGCAGACAGACUUGAUCUUUCUUCUCCGUGCUCUUCUUCGUCGUCUUUGAAGCGCAAGGGAUGCUGGGGCGAGUCUUGUUCUCCGUCAAGCUGUGGAACAGUUCUUCAACUUCAACACGUGGCCAGGACUAACUUCUCAGACGUUCAUAAUAAACUUUAUAGGAAGUCAGCAACGCUUUGAAAGUGUCCUACACAGCUUUGUACUUGACUUAAGUGUCCAAACUACGGCCCGCGAGACCUCACAAGUUCAACAAAACAUCCCACUGUGCUUUCAAAUUAAUUUUAAAUGACCGGCGGUCCCUGGAUACUACAUAUUUGCUGCCAUCUUGUGGACAAACGACGUGAUGAGGAAGAAAAACCCGAAUGAACUGAUGAACCGGCGAGGCCGUCGUGGUCUGCAAGGUGGCGAGUCAAAACAAGGGCGCGAAGCCAGAAGCCGCAGCGUCAAGGGCGACUCCAGCUUUUCUCAGCAAUUACACUGACGUGCGCGACACCGCUGCCUUGACCCCUGAAUACCCCUCGGACUCAAUCAGGUGAGCAUUUCUCAAGGAGCCAUUAAAGUCUUUGAAAGCUACUUAAAGCCUCCAAGCGGGUCUCAUUUGCCACGGGCAUGGAUGAUAAGUUUACUUUGGCACAUAGGGGUGAAAUGACAAAACGUCUGCAAGUGUUGUCAACGUUGCUGCUGACAAGGUAUGGCACACGGCACCGUGAGACUGGGACUUAAAAGUACCUACUUUUUCAUUGCUAAAGCAAAUUUAGAUGAAACGGCAGUAUUUAAAAGACUUAUUUUACAAUUCUGUGUUUAUAUUAUUCACAUGUGAAUAAUGCUGUAUAAUAGUGUCAGGAAUAUGACUUGGAUUAGUUUUGCUUCUUCGAAGCAGAGGGAAUUUGAUAACGAGCUAGGCGAGAAUGUGAGUACAUGAUUAAUUUAUUUACACACUAUAAUACAAAAAGGGAAAACAAAGGGCGCGCUCAGUGGCAGAUAAUCUAUACUAAACUCCAAACAAACCAGCACAAUGGCAUGAGUAUAUACAAAUAAACAAAAGAUACUAUCAAUGGUACAAAACAAACCCCCCCCAAAAAAAUUUGCAUAGAGGCAUAAAUAUAAACAUGAUCUUACGUGCUGUGGUCAAAUCAAUAAUCAGCGUGGCAAGGCAAGUGUGUGGUCAUCAGGGUUCGAUACAAAUUCAGGUAGGUAAAGCAAGUACACAGGCAUGUAGCAAGUAGUAAGCACAAAGUUCCCAGGCCGAGGACAGAAACAGAAUGGUAUAAAUAAUGACUGUGAAGAUGAUUACUAACAGGUGUGAGGCUGAGGACAGGGGCAUGACUUGUAGACCAGGUGGAAACUAUUGAGUAACUAUGGAAACAAACAAAACCAGGAAGUGCAAACACGGGAAACGAGUCCAAAAACAUAACAUGAUCAAACAUAAACCCAGAUUAACAGGCAUGACAAAUAGACUGUAUUUAUAUUAUUCACAUGUGAAUAAUGCUGUAUAAUAGAGUCUAUCAUACAACAUUAUUCACAUACAUAAUAUAUGAAUGUAUAAUAGUCUAUUAUACAACAUUAUUCACAUGUGAACAGUGUAAAUACAGUCUAUUAUACAGCAUUAUUCACAUGUGAAUAAUAUAAAUACAGUCUAUUAAACAGCAUUAUUCAAAUGUGAAUAAUAUAAAUAGUCUAUUAAACAGCAUUAUUCACAUGUGAAUAAUAUAAAUACAGUCUAUUAAACAGCAUUAUUCACAUGUGAAUAAUAUAAAUACAGUCUUAUGUAUAUUUAAUGUGUCUAUUCAAUGUGUUUAUUUAAUAGACUGUAUUUAUAUUAUUCACAUGUGAAUCAGCUCUAUAAUAGACUGUGUUGAUGUUAUUCACAUGUGAAAAAGCUGUAUAAUGGACUGUAUUUAUAUUAUUCACAUUUGAAUCAUGCUAUAUAACAGACUGUAAGUAUAUCAUUCACAUGUGAAUAAUGUCGUAUGAUAGACUGUAUUUAUAUUAUUCACAUGAAAAAAAAAAUACCCAAGUGUUUGUUGUUUAUUGUGAGCGAACUGUGGUACUGAAUUUCCCCAAGAGAUCAAUAAAGUACUUUCUAUUCUAUUCUAUAGCAAAUCAUGCGAUGUCGUCAUAUCGACCACACUAACCCCCCCCCCCACAAGUAUUUUGGCAAUUUUGGGGAAAC
Molecule: RNA transcript, 4042 nt
Organism: Nerophis ophidion (straightnose pipefish)
Lineage: Eukaryota; Metazoa; Chordata; Actinopteri; Syngnathiformes; Syngnathidae
Gene name: beta-2 adrenergic receptor
Exons: 2
Source: RefSeq, a predicted model, not a curated record